Non-coding RNA from Gasterosteus aculeatus aculeatus (three-spined stickleback), 507 nucleotides. The record is from RefSeq and is a predicted model, not a curated record. NCBI's taxonomy places the organism in Eukaryota, Metazoa, Chordata, Actinopteri, Perciformes, Gasterosteidae.
AGCUGAGCUAAACUAACGAAGCCACAUUCAAACUCGCCGAAGCGUAAAAUAGUCGUCGCGGUCCGUAGUCGGUGCACAAGAAGCACCGCUGCACCGCCACCGUUAACGAAGUUAACGUCGACGAUAUUAACUCUGGACCCUGUUCUUUGUGUUUCCUGUGGAGAAAAAGGAGGCUCCUCAUGGUCAAAAACAACAGCUGUUGCGUUUACAUCUGUUAUUCUGCUGGUGAUCAUCAUCCUCGCUGCCUUCCUCUUGAUCAGAAAAAGGAGCCGGCCUGCAGAGAGACCAGACAACAAUGAGAUCCCACCAGCGGAGCCUUGCUAUGCUACCGUGAGCUUCUCCAGAAACCAGGAGGAUCUUCUUCUCUACUCCAACGUCAGUCCAGCUCGCCCCCACAGACGCAAGGAGGAGGUGGAGGAAGUUCUGUACUCAGGUGUCAACUUUGAGAGUUCUGGUGCUGCCAGCGAACGGAGAUGUGAAGGAGCUGUGGAUGAUUCUUCUGCUCUG